RNAcentral lists this ribosomal RNA (433 nucleotides) under uncultured bacterium. RNAcentral's name for it is "partial 16S ribosomal RNA". It matches the Rfam family "Bacterial small subunit ribosomal RNA", at positions 29 to 507 of the family's 1533-position model. The record is from RNAcentral.
AACGAACGCUGGCGGCAUGCCUAACACAUGCAAGUCGAACGAGACCUUCGGGUCUAGUGGCGCACGGGUGCGUAACGCGUGGGAACCUGCCCUUAGGUUCGGAAUAACUCCCCGAAAGGGGUGCUAAUACCGGAUAAUGUCUUCGGACCAAAGAUUUAUCGCCUUUGGAUGGGCCCGCGUUGGAUUAGCUAGUUGGUAGGGUAAAAGCCUACCAAGGCGACGAUCCUGAGCUGGUCUGAGAGGAUGAUCAGCCACACUGGGACUGAGACACGGCCCAGACUCCUACGGGAGGCAGCAGUGGGGAAUAUGGGACAAUGGGCGAAAGCCUGAUCCAGCCAUGCCGCGUGAGUGAUGAAGGCCUUAGGGUUGUAAAGCUCUUUUACCCGGGAUGAUAAUGACAGUACCGGGAGAAUAAGCUCCGGCUAACUCCGUG